Molecule: ribosomal RNA, 253 nt
Filed under: uncultured bacterium
Lineage: Bacteria
Description: partial 16S ribosomal RNA
Rfam family: Bacterial small subunit ribosomal RNA
Source: RNAcentral
UACGAAGGGAGCUAGCGUUACUCGGAAUCACUGGGCGUAAAGCGUGCGUAGGCGGUUUUGUAAGUCAGAAGUGAAAGCCCAGGGCUCAACCCUGGAAUUGCUUUUGAAACUGCAUAACUUGAGUGUUGUAGGGGAUAGCGGAAUUCCUAGUGUAGAGGUGAAAUUCGUAGAUAUUAGGAGGAACACCGGUGGCGAAGGCGGCUAUCUGGACAACAACUGACGCUGUUGCACGAAAGCGUGGGGAGCAAACAGG